Molecule: ribosomal RNA, 435 nt
Filed under: uncultured bacterium
Lineage: Bacteria
Description: bacterial SSU rRNA
Rfam family: Bacterial small subunit ribosomal RNA
Source: RNAcentral
UUACGGGAGGCAGCAGUGGGGAAUCUUGGACAAUGGGGGAAACCCUGAUCCAGCGAUGCCGCGUGAGUGAUGAAGGCCUUCGGGUUGUAAAACUCUUUUACCCGGGAAGAUAAUGACUGUACCGGGAGAAUAAGCUCCGGCUAACUUCGUGCCAGCAGCCGCGGUAAUACGAAGGGGGCUAGCGUUGUUCGGAAUUACUGGGCGUAAAGCGCGCGCAGGCGGCCAUUCAAGUCAGGGGUGAAAGCCCAGAGCUCAACUCUGGAACUGCCUUUGAAACUGUAUGGCUUGAGUAUGAGAGAGGUGAGUGGAAUUCCCAGUGUAGAGGUGAAAUUCGUAGAUAUUGGGAAGAACACCGGUGGCGAAGGCGGCUCACUGGCUCAUUACUGACGCUCAGGCGCGACAGCGUGGGGAUCAAACAGGAUUAGAUACCCUGGU